GUGGCAUUGCUUUCCUUCGAAGAAUUUCGGGCAAGGUGUGGACCGUGGUCAAACAGGAUUUGGAGACAUGUGGCGUAUAGACAAUACACAUGGUUCAGCCAUGGAUACUUUGGACGCAAGCAGCGGCGUGUGAUACCGUCUUGCGUGGUAUCGAAGAUAAAGCAGCUGUACCAGAAGCCAAUGCAGAUGCGCACUGGGGCUUUGAGGAAGCAGUUGGACAUGAUGAUGAUGAUGAUGAUAAUGCUUCUUGGCCUGGUUGACGUUCACAUAAUCAUUGGUACAUGUGCAUGCAGAAUGUAGAAAACAGUUGACAGACACGAUUUAUAACUAUUCUUGACUCGGGCAAUAUUUGUGUUUUCGGGUGGGCGCAUGCUUUGCACCAAUGCAGCUGCACGAACAAUCUGGUAAAGUUGACAGAUACAAUG
Long non-coding RNA from Sycon ciliatum, 425 nucleotides. RefSeq lists it as uncharacterized. The transcript has 2 exons. NCBI's taxonomy places the organism in Eukaryota, Metazoa, Porifera, Calcarea, Leucosolenida, Sycettidae. The record is from RefSeq and is a predicted model, not a curated record.